Molecule: transfer RNA, 70 nt
Filed under: Acaryochloridaceae cyanobacterium RL_2_7
Lineage: Bacteria; Bacillati; Cyanobacteriota; Cyanophyceae; Acaryochloridales; Acaryochloridaceae
Description: tRNA-Gln
Rfam family: tRNA
About the family: Transfer RNA (tRNA) molecules are approximately 80 nucleotides in length. Their secondary structure includes four short double-helical elements and three loops (D, anti-codon, and T loops).
Source: RNAcentral
UGGGGCGUCGCCAAGCGGUAAGGCACCUGAUUUUGGUUCAGGCAUUCGGAGGUUCGAACCUCCGCCCCAG